CCGUUUGGUGACGCGGAGGGACAUUACCGAGUUUACAACUCCCAAACCCAAUGUGAACGUUACCAAACUGUUGCCUCGGCGGGAUCUCUGCCCCGGGUGCGUCGCAGCCCCGGACCAAGGCGCCCGCCGGAGGACCAACCAAAACUCUUUUUGUAUACCCCCUCGCGGGUUUUUUUAUAAUCUGAGCCUUCUCGGCGCCUCUCGUAGGCGUUUCGAAAAUGAAUCAAAACUUUCAACAACGGAUCUCUUGGUUCUGGCAUCGAUGAAGAACGCAGCGAAAUGCGAUAAGUAAUGUGAAUUGCAGAAUUCAGUGAAUCAUCGAAUCUUUGAACGCACAUUGCGCCCGCCAGUAUUCUGGCGGGCAUGCCUGUCCGAGCGUCAUUUCAACCCUCGAACCCCUCCGGGGGGUCGGCGUUGGGGAUCGGCCCUGCCUCUUGGCGGUGGCCGUCUCCGAAAUACAGUGGCGGUCUCGCCGCAGCCUCUCCUGCGCAGUAGUUUGCACACUCGCAUCGGGAGCGCGGCGCGUCCACAGCCGUUAAACACCCAACUUCUGAAAUGUUGACCUCGGAUCAGGUAGGAAUACCCGCUGAACUUAAGCAUUC
This 602-nucleotide ribosomal RNA is filed under the name Trichoderma harzianum. RNAcentral's name for it is "eukaryotic LSU rRNA". The stretch from base 228 to 381 matches the Rfam family "5.8S ribosomal RNA". Lineage: Eukaryota; Fungi; Ascomycota; Sordariomycetes; Hypocreales; Hypocreaceae. The record is from RNAcentral.